Molecule: transfer RNA, 86 nt
Filed under: Treponema sp.
Lineage: Bacteria; Pseudomonadati; Spirochaetota; Spirochaetia; Treponematales; Treponemataceae
Description: tRNA-Ser
Rfam family: tRNA
About the family: Transfer RNA (tRNA) molecules are approximately 80 nucleotides in length. Their secondary structure includes four short double-helical elements and three loops (D, anti-codon, and T loops). Further hydrogen bonds mediate the characteristic L-shaped molecular structure. tRNAs have two regions of fundamental functional importance: the anti-codon, which is responsible for specific mRNA codon recognition, and the 3' end, to which the tRNAs corresponding amino acid is attached (by aminoacyl-tRNA synthetases). tRNAs cope with the degeneracy of the genetic code in two manners: having more than one tRNA (with a specific anti-codon) for a particular amino acid; and 'wobble' base-pairing, i.e. permitting non-standard base-pairing at the 3rd anti-codon position.
Source: RNAcentral
GGAGAGAUGCGAGAGUGGUUGAAUCGGGCGGUCUCGAAAACCGUUGUGCCCGAAGGGCACCGAGGGUUCGAAUCCCUCUCUCUCCG